This 253-nucleotide ribosomal RNA is filed under the name uncultured bacterium. RNAcentral's name for it is "partial 16S ribosomal RNA". It matches the Rfam family "Bacterial small subunit ribosomal RNA", at positions 524 to 776 of the family's 1533-position model. The record is from RNAcentral.
UACGGAGGAUGCAAGCGUUAUCCGGAAUGAUUGGGCGUAAAGCGUCCGCAGGUGGCUGUGUAAGUCUGCUGUUAAAUAGUGAGGCUCAACCUCAUAAAGGCAGUGGAAACUACACGGCUAGAGUGCGUUCGGGGCAGAGGGAAUUCCAGGUGUAGCGGUGAAAUGCGUAGAUAUCUGGAGGAACACCGGUGGCGAAGGCGGCGUUCUGGACUGCAACUGACACUGAGGAACGAAAGCCAGGGUAGCAAACGGG